RNAcentral lists this ribosomal RNA (497 nucleotides) under uncultured bacterium. Its description in RNAcentral is "partial 16S ribosomal RNA". It matches the Rfam family "Bacterial small subunit ribosomal RNA", at positions 28 to 507 of the family's 1533-position model. The record is from RNAcentral.
GAUGAACGCUGGCGGCGUGCCUAAUACAUGCAAGUCGAGCGAACAGACGAGGAGCUUACUCCUCUGACGUUAGCGGCGGACGGGUGAGUAACACGUGGAUAACCUACCUAUAAGACUGGUAUAACUUCGGGAAACCGGAGCUAAUACCGGAUAACAUGUUGAACCGCAUGGUUCAAUAGUGAAAGACGGUCUUGCUGUCACUUAUAGAUGGAUCCGCGUCGCAUUAGCUAGUUGGUAAGGUAACGGUUUACCAAGGCAACGAUGCGUAGCCGACCUGAGAGGGUGAUCGCCCACACUGGAACUGGAACAGGGUCCAGACUCCUACGGGAGGCAGCAGAAGGGAAUCUUCCGCAAGGGGCGAAAGCCUGACGGAGCAACGCCGCGGGAGUGAAGAAGGUCUUCGGAUCGUAAACCUCGGUUAUUAGGGAAGAACAAAUGUGUAAGUAACUAUGCACGUCUUGACGGUACCUAAUCAGAAAGCCACGGCUAACUACGUG